This 1343-nucleotide ribosomal RNA is filed under the name uncultured bacterium. RNAcentral's name for it is "16S ribosomal RNA". It matches the Rfam family "Bacterial small subunit ribosomal RNA", at positions 28 to 1378 of the family's 1533-position model. The record is from RNAcentral.
GACGAACGCUGGCGGCGUGCUUAACACAUGCAAGUCGAACGGAAAGGCCCUGCUUUUGUGGGGUGCUCGAGUGGCGAACGGGUGAGUAACACGUGAGUAACCUGCCCUUGACUUUGGGAUAACUUCAGGAAACUGGGGCUAAUACCGGAUAGGAGCUCCUGCUGCAUGGUGGGGGUUGGAAAGUUUCGGCGGUUGGGGAUGGACUCGCGGCUUAUCAGCUUGUUGGUGGGGUAGUGGCUUACCAAGGCUUUGACGGGUAGCCGGCCUGAGAGGGUGACCGGCCACAUUGGGACUGAGAUACGGCCCAGACUCCUACGGGAGGCAGCAGUGGGGAAUAUUGCACAAUGGGCGGAAGCCUGAUGCAGCGACGCCGCGUGCGGGAUGACGGCCUUCGGGUUGUAAACCGCUUUCGCCUGUGACGAAGCGUGAGUGACGGUAAUGGGUAAAGAAGCACCGGCUAACUACGUGCCAGCAGCCGCGGUGAUACGUAGGGUGCGAGCGUUGUCCGGAUUUAUUGGGCGUAAAGGGCUCGUAGGUGGUUGAUCGCGUCGGAAGUGUAAUCUUGGGGCUUAACCCUGAGCGUGCUUUCGAUACGGGUUGACUUGAGGAAGGUAGGGGAGAAUGGAAUUCCUGGUGGAGCGGUGGAAUGCGCAGAUAUCAGGAGGAACACCAGUGGCGAAGGCGGUUCUCUGGGCCUUUCCUGACGCUGAGGAGCGAAAGCGUGGGGAGCGAACAGGCUUAGAUACCCUGGUAGUCCACGCUGUAAACGGUGGGUACUAGGUGUGGGGUCCAUUCCACGGGUUCCGUGCCGUAGCUAACGCUUUAAGUACCCCGCCUGGGGAGUACGGCCGCAAGGCUAAAACUCAAAGGAAUUGACGGGGCCCCGCACAAGCGGCGGAGCAUGCGGAUUAAUUCGAUGCAACGCGUAGAACCUUACCUGGGUUUGACAUGGAUCGGGAGCGCUCAGAGAUGGGUGUGCCUCUUUUGGGGUCGGUUCACAGGUGGUGCAUGGCUGUCGUCAGCUCGUGUCGUGAGAUGUUGGGUUAAGUCCCGCAACGAGCGCAACCCUUGUUCACUGUUGCCAGCACGUUAUGGUGGGGACUCAGUGGAGACCGCCGGGGUCAACUCGGAGGAAGGUGGGGAUGACGUCAAGUCAUCAUGCCCCUUAUGUCCAGGGCUUCACGCAUGCUACAAUGGCUGGUACAGAGAGUGGCGAGCCUGUGAGGGUGAGCGAAUCUCGGAAAGCCGGUCUCAGUUCGGAUUGGGGUCUGCAACUCGGCCUCAUGAAGUCGGAGUCGCUAGUAAUCGCAGAUCAGCAACGCUGCGGUGAAUACGUUCCCGGG